GAUCCUGGCUCAGGAUGAACGCUGGCGGCGCGCCUAACACAUGCAAGUCGAACGAUUAAAGCACCUUCGGGUGUGUAUAAGUGGCGAAUGGCUGAGUAACACGUGGGCAACCUGCCCCUCUCAUUGGGAUAGCCACGGGAAACCGUGGAUAAUACCGAAUACUUCGAGACUUCCGCAUGGAAGACUCGAGAAAGCUCCGGCGGAGAGGGAUGGGCCCGCGGCCUGUUAGCUUGUUGGUGGGGUAACGGCCU
RNAcentral lists this ribosomal RNA (251 nucleotides) under uncultured bacterium. RNAcentral's name for it is "partial 16S ribosomal RNA". It matches the Rfam family "Bacterial small subunit ribosomal RNA", at positions 15 to 266 of the family's 1533-position model. The record is from RNAcentral.